This 265-nucleotide long non-coding RNA is filed under the name Malus domestica (apple). Its description in RNAcentral is "long non-coding RNA (MDOM_LNC006125)". Lineage: Eukaryota; Viridiplantae; Streptophyta; Magnoliopsida; Rosales; Rosaceae. The record is from RNAcentral.
UUCUUGAAACUCAUGGCACUAAUACCUUCGUUAACAAGUAGGAUAUCUACGCCAAAGAUUUCUUUGAUGAAUUGAUCGAAGAGAUCACAAAUAAAAUUUUUGACGAUCGACUGAAGAAAACCUCUGCUGUAAAAUCUAAAAAGACAGCCUAAGGUACUCUUUAUUUCUAUUGUCUUGCUAGUAUACAUAUUUAAACAAACGUUUUUUAAUUAACAUUUGAUCAGUUUUUUCAGCUGGUCGCUCAAUAAAACAGGCCGAAGUGGUU